This 488-nucleotide ribosomal RNA is filed under the name uncultured bacterium. Its description in RNAcentral is "bacterial SSU rRNA". It matches the Rfam family "Bacterial small subunit ribosomal RNA", at positions 791 to 1285 of the family's 1533-position model. The record is from RNAcentral.
UAGUCCACGCCGUAAACGAUCAUCACUCGCUGUUGGCGAUAUACUGUCAGCGGCCAAGCGAAAGUAUUAAGUGAUGCACCUGGGGAGUACGUUCGCAAGAAUGAAACUCAAAGGAAUUGACGGGGGCCCGCACAAGCGGUGGAGCAUGUGGUUUAAUUCGAUGAUACGCGAGGAACCUUACCAGGGCUUAAAUGUUAGGUGACAGAUCUAGAAAUAGAUUUUCUUCGGACACUUAACAAGGUGCUGCAUGGUUGUCGUCAGCUCGUGCCGUGAGGUGUCAGGUUAAGUCCUAUAACGAGCGCAACCCCUGUUGUUAGUUGCCAGCGAGUAAUGUCGGGAACUCUAGCAAGACUGCCAGUGCAAACUGUGAGGAAGGUGGGGAUGACGUCAAAUCAUCACGGCCCUUACGUCCUGGGCUACACACGUGCUACAAUGGUAGGUACAGAGAGCAGCCAAUGCGCGAGCAUGAGCAAAAUCUAUAAAACCUA